Long non-coding RNA from Pistacia vera, 271 nucleotides. RefSeq lists it as uncharacterized. Lineage: Eukaryota; Viridiplantae; Streptophyta; Magnoliopsida; Sapindales; Anacardiaceae. The record is from RefSeq and is a predicted model, not a curated record. The transcript has 4 exons.
AUGGCAAAUGACAAGUGGAGGGUGAUCGAGAGGUUCACAAGUUUACAGAAGAGAAACCUGGCUGUUGCAGUGAUCCACAUGUGCCUCCAUGUGCUGCGUAUGUUUUUUCUCUCUCACACGUAGAUUUUGUAUUAUGUUGACAUAUCUCAAUGGGACCCGGUUGAGAUCCCUUGGGGCAAUUAUGGGGCUGAGUAUAUUGUUGAAUCUUCUGGGGUCUUCACAACAACUAACAAGGCCUCAGUCACAAAAGGAAAAAAUGAUACAUUCGUGC